Molecule: ribosomal RNA, 468 nt
Filed under: uncultured bacterium
Lineage: Bacteria
Description: partial 16S ribosomal RNA
Rfam family: Bacterial small subunit ribosomal RNA
Source: RNAcentral
GACGAACGCUGGCGGCGCGCCUAACACAUGCAAGUCGAACGGAGUCAAGAGGAGCUUGCUUUUCUUGACUUAGUGGCGCACGGGUGAGUAACGCGUGAGUAACCUGCCCUGGAGUGGGGGACAACAGUUGGAAACGACUGCUAAUACCGCAUAAGCCCACGGAUCUGCAUGGAUCUGCGGGAAAAGGAUUUAUUCGCUCUAGGAUGGACUCGCGUCCAAUUAGCUAGUUGGUGAGGUAACGGCCCACCAAGGCGACGAUUGGUAGCCGGACUGAGAGGUUGAACGGCCACAUUGGGACUGAGACACGGCCCAGACUCCUACGGGAAGCAGCAGUGGGGGAUAUUGCACAAUGGGGGAAACCCUGAUGCAGCGACGCCGCGUGGAGGAAGAAGGUUUUCGGAUUGUAAACUCCUGUCGUUAGGGACGAUAAUGACGGUACCUAACAAGAAAGCACCAGCUAACUACGUG